AUCCAGCUGGCGAGUCCCAAAUAGGACGAAAUGCGUACCUUGGAU
Molecule: non-coding RNA, 45 nt
Filed under: Trichobilharzia regenti
Lineage: Eukaryota; Metazoa; Platyhelminthes; Trematoda; Strigeidida; Schistosomatidae
Source: RNAcentral